Molecule: unclassified non-coding RNA, 102 nt
Organism: Nomascus leucogenys (northern white-cheeked gibbon)
Lineage: Eukaryota; Metazoa; Chordata; Mammalia; Primates; Hylobatidae
Rfam family: Y RNA
About the family: Y RNAs are components of the Ro ribonucleoprotein particle (Ro RNP), in association with Ro60 and La proteins.
Source: Ensembl
GGCUGGUCUGAGUGUAGUGGUGUUUACAACUAAUUGAUCACAACCAGUUACAGAUUUCUUUGUUCCUUCUCCACUUCCACUGCUUCAAUUGAUUAGCCUUAA